Solea solea (common sole) is the source of this 1147-nucleotide long non-coding RNA. RefSeq lists it as uncharacterized. The record is from RefSeq and is a predicted model, not a curated record. The transcript is spliced from 6 exons. NCBI's taxonomy places the organism in Eukaryota, Metazoa, Chordata, Actinopteri, Pleuronectiformes, Soleidae.
CAGAGUCCCGUCUGUGGCUGUCGAGUGAGUCUGUCUGCCACCCGUACACUCCGGUGAGGCAUAUCCAACAAAGACACGCCACUGCAGUCCUGAGCCUGUGAUCCAUCCACACAGCUGCACCAGCAGUGAGAUCCAUGCAACGAGGCGCACCAGCAGUAAAACACAGCAGACAUCCAGUUUGCAAACUUAUGUUGGUUCUCUCCAGGGCCUGGAGGAACAACUACAGAGUAGCCCGACCUUCAGAAACAAUUGGUAAACACACUGGCUCUCAAAGGUGGAGUGGACAUUCGUGAGUGUGGAGGAUCAUGUAUGCGAUGAUCACAAACUCCCUGGCAAGAACUAUAAACAUGAGAGGGGUAAAUGGAAUAUUGGUUUCCAGCACUUGUAGUUAAGAAAUGUUGUAUUUGCUGCCGUAAGGCGUAACCGCCUAACAUCUGAGGCCACAGAGCAGGAAAUCGACUCAACGAUGAUGGUUACAUCUGGCUCCAGACAGAGAUGGUGGCAGAAUGGAGAGGAUGAAGCAAAAGCAGAGAAUGGUUGGCACAACAGGUUAAACUCCUGUAGAACCUUGGGACGUCCAUGGAACGGCCGCCCAAUCACAGACGAGAUUCACCAGUGCGUCACACUGCUCUGCAUUGGUCUCAAGCACGUGAUAACUGGAUGAAUACUUUCCGUGAAGCUGCCUCAGCGGCCUGUGGAAAAGCUCUUCGGCGUCGCAGGACUCGUCUACAGGCCAAAGAAGAGCGAGACUGAAUUCGCGCAACUUUGAAAAACGACUUCUUCUGAAAGGGAACAGACACUUCAGCUAAUAAAAUGGCUUGUGCCAUUUGAAGGACAUGUGUAGUUUGUCUAUAUAGCUAAUUUUGCUCUGGUUAUAUUGUAAAAAAUGACUUCAACCUCUACCAAAGUUAUUUUCUGGUCAGAUGCUUGUACUUUUACUCAAAUAUCCCUUUUAGAUACUUUAUGCAAGGCUGAACAAAUCACACAAAGCUUGUUGUUACUCGAUCAAUUCCUUAUGUGUGGGCUUGGACGUCGGGUCAUUGCUAAGCACAUGCGGUCCAUUAGCCAGAGAACAUGGCCGGACUCACACAGUGACACACGACCACCCGUCAAUCCAGCCGCCAAUAAACAUCUUUGAAUGAAUGAA